Molecule: ribosomal RNA, 326 nt
Filed under: uncultured eukaryote
Lineage: Eukaryota
Description: partial 18S ribosomal RNA
Rfam family: Eukaryotic small subunit ribosomal RNA
Source: RNAcentral
CCCUUAGAUGUCCUGGGCCGCACGCGCGCUACACUGAUGCAUGCAACGAGUUUAUAACCUUGGCCUGAAAGGUCUGGGUAAUCUUUUGAACGUGCAUCGUGAUAGGGAUAGAUUAUUGCAAUUGUUAAUCUUGAACGAGGAAUUCCUAGUAAACGCGAGUCAUCAGCUCGCAUUGAUUACGUCCCUGCCCUUUGUACACACCGCCCGUCGCUCCUACCGAUCGAAGAGUUAGGUGAAUUGUUUUGAUCGAUAAGAUUUGACUAUGGUCAACUCUCGUUGUGAAAUUCUGUGAAUCUGACUGUUUAGAGGAAGGAAAAGUCGUAACA